RNAcentral lists this ribosomal RNA (479 nucleotides) under uncultured Bacteroidota bacterium. Its description in RNAcentral is "bacterial SSU rRNA". The record is from RNAcentral. Lineage: Bacteria; Pseudomonadati; Bacteroidota.
GAGUUUGAUCAUGGCUCAGGAUGAACGCUAGCGGCAGGCUUAAUACAUGCAAGUCGAGUGGCAGCAGCUUUAUAGCAAUAUAGAGGCUGGCGACCGGCAAACGGGUGCGGAACACGUACACAACCUUCCUUGAAUAGGGGGAUAGCCCAUAGAAAUGUGGAUUAAUACCCCGUAAUAUAGCGGUGUGGCAUCACACUGUUAUUAUAGUUUCGGCGAUUCGAGAUGGGUGUGCGGCUGAUUAGGUAGUUGGCGGGGUAAAGGCCCACCAAGCCUUCGAUCAGUAGCUGAUGUGAGAGCAUGAUCAGCCACACGGGCACUGAGACACGGGCCCGACUCCUACGGGAGGCAGCAGUAAGGAAUAUUGGUCAAUGGACGCAAGUYUGAACCAGCCAUGCCGCGUGAAGGAUGAAGKUYCUCUGGAUUGUAAACUUCUUUUAUAGGGGGCGRAAAAAGGUCUUCUAGGUCACUGACAGUACCCU